AUAUCAAGAAUAACAACAAGAUAUAAACAGUCUUCUAGAAAUUGAACUCUUUGCAUCUUCUAUACAGGUAUCUCAUGAUCAUGUGAUAACACACAGGAAGAAAAAUAGAGGAAAAAACAGCGUAAAAAAAAGUUGCGUAGGAGUAUCGUCGCACUACAUCAUUCGACAAUUGAUGCACGUCAUGGCGAUCGUCACGGUUUAAAGCAGGCCAUCAAAAACACGUUUGUUAUCGUACGGAAAAAUCUGCGACGUUCCAGCUGUUCAGGUGCAUCGAAUUGUGAAUCAUCGGCGGUACGAAGCAAGGCGAGGGGCGUAAAUAGAGAAAGAAGAGAAGAGAAGGAUUCGCAUAAAUGAUAAAAUAUAAUCGUUCGUUCCUCGUCGAUGGCGGAUGGAUGGCUUUAAUCGUGGAUGAUAUCGAUACGAUUAUAUUUUAUACAUUUGAAACAAAUAUAAAAGACGAGCAAAAACCAGA
Molecule: long non-coding RNA, 472 nt
Organism: Bombus huntii
Lineage: Eukaryota; Metazoa; Arthropoda; Insecta; Hymenoptera; Apidae
Exons: 2
Source: RefSeq, a predicted model, not a curated record